GGGUUGUGAGGUUAAGCGACUAAGCGUACACGGUGGAUGCCCUGGCAGUCAGAGGCGAUGAAGGACGUGCUAAUCUGCGAAAAGCGUCGGUAAGGUGAUAUGAACCGUUACAGCCGGCGAUGUCCGAAUGGGGAAACCCAGUGUGAUUCGUCACACUAUCGUUAACUGAAUACAUAGGUUAACGAGGCGAACCGGGGGAACUGAAACAUCUAAGUACCCCGAGGAAAAGAAAUCAACCGAGAUUCCCCAGUAGCGGCGAGCGAACGGGGAGCAGCCCAGAGUCUGAAUCAGCUUGUGUGUUAGUGGAACGGUCUGGAAAGUCCGACGGUACAGGGUGAUAGUCCCGUACACCAAAAUGCACAGGCUGUGAACUCGAAGAGUAGGGCGGGACACGUGGUAUCCUGUCUGAAUAUGGGGGACCAUCCUCCAAGGCUAAAUACUCCUGACUGACCGAUAGUGAACCAGUACCGUGAGGGAAAGGCGAAAAGAACCCCGGCGAGGGAGUGAAAAAGAACCUGAAACCGUGUACGUACAAGCAGUGGGAGCACCUUCGGGUGUGACUGCGUACCUUUUGUAUAAUGGGUCAGCGACUUAUAUUCUGUAGCAAGGUUAACCGUAUAGGGGAGCCGCAGGGAAACCGAGUCUUAACUGGGCGUUAAGUUGCAGGGUAUAGACCCGAAACCCGGUGAUCUAGCCAUGGGCAGGUUGAAGGUUGGGUAACACUAACUGGAGGACCGAACCGACUAAUGUUGAAAAAUUAGCGGAUGACUUGUGGCUGGGGGUGAAAGGCCAAUCAAACCGGGAGAUAGCUGGUUCUCCCCGAAAGCUAUUUAGGUAGCGCCUCGUGAAUUCAUCUUCGGGGUAGAGCACUGUUUCGGCUAGGGGUCAUCCCGACUUACCAACCCGAUGCAAACUACGAAUACCGAAGAAUGUUAUCACGGGAGACACACGGCGGGUGCUAACGUCCGUCGUGAAGAGGGAAACAACCCAGACCGCCAGCUAAGGUCCCAAAGUCAUGGUUAAGUGGGAAACGAUGUGGGAAGGCACAGACAGCCAGGAUGUUGGCUUAGAAGCAGCCAUCAUUUAAAGAAAGCGUAAUAGCUCACUGGUCGAGUCGGCCUGCGCGGAAGAUGUAACGGGGCUAAACCAUGCACCGAAGCUGCGGCAGCGACACUAUGUGUUGUUGGGUAGGGGAGCGUUCUGUAAGCCUGCGAAGGUGACCUGUGAGGGUUGCUGGAGGUAUCAGAAGUGCGAAUGCUGACAUAAGUAACGAUAAAGCGGGUGAAAAGCCCGCUCGCCGGAAGACCAAGGGUUCCUGUCCAACGUUAAUCGGGGCAGGGUGAGUCGACCCCUAAGGCGAGGCCGAAAGGCGUAGUCGAUGGGAAACAGGUUAAUAUUCCUGUACUUGGUGUUACUGCGAAGGGGGGACGGAGAAGGCUAUGUUAGCCGGGCGACGGUUGUCCCGGUUUAAGCAUGUAGGCUGGUUAUCCAGGCAAAUCCGGAUAAUCAAGGCUGAGGUGUGAUGACGAGGCACUACGGUGCUGAAGUAACAAAUGCCCUGCUUCCAGGAAAAGCCUCUAAGCAUCAGGUAACAUCAAAUCGUACCCCAAACCGACACAGGUGGUCAGGUAGAGAAUACCAAGGCGCUUGAGAGAACUCGGGUGAAGGAACUAGGCAAAAUGGUGCCGUAACUUCGGGAGAAGGCACGCUGGUGUGUAGGUGAAGUCCCUGCGGAUGGAGCUGAGACCAGUCGAAGAUACCAGCUGGCUGCAACUGUUUAUUAAAAACACAGCACUGUGCAAACACGAAAGUGGACGUAUACGGUGUGACGCCUGCCCGGUGCCGGAAGGUUAAUUGAUGGGGUUAUCCGUAAGGAGAAGCUCUUGAUCGAAGCCCCGGUAAACGGCGGCCGUAACUAUAACGGUCCUAAGGUAGCGAAAUUCCUUGUCGGGUAAGUUCCGACCUGCACGAAUGGCGUAAUGAUGGCCAGGCUGUCUCCACCCGAGACUCAGUGAAAUUGAACUCGCUGUGAAGAUGCAGUGUACCCGCGGCAAGACGGAAAGACCCCGUGAACCUUUACUAUAGCUUGACACUGAACAUUGAGCCUUGAUGUGUAGGAUAGGUGGGAGGCUUUGAAGCGUGGACGCCAGUCUGCGUGGAGCCAACCUUGAAAUACCACCCUUUAAUGUUUGAUGUUCUAACGUUGGCCCCUUACCGGGGUUGCGGACAGUGUCUGGUGGGUAGUUUGACUGGGGCGGUCUCCUCCCAAAGCGUAACGGAGGAGCACGAAGGUUAGCUAAUCCUGGUCGGACAUCAGGAGGUUAGUGCAAUGGCAUAAGCUAGCUUGACUGCGAGCGUGACGGCGCGAGCAGGUGCGAAAGCAGGUCAUAGUGAUCCGGUGGUUCUGAAUGGAAGGGCCAUCGCUCAACGGAUAAAAGGUACUCCGGGGAUAACAGGCUGAUACCGCCCAAGAGUUCAUAUCGACGGCGGUGUUUGGCACCUCGAUGUCGGCUCAUCACAUCCUGGGGCUGAAGUAGGUCCCAAGGGUAUGGCUGUUCGCCAUUUAAAGUGGUACGCGAGCUGGGUUUAGAACGUCGUGAGACAGUUCGGUCCCUAUCUGCCGUGGGCGCUGGAGAAUUGAGGGGGCUGCUCCUAGUACGAGAGGACCGGAGUGGACGCAUCACUGGUGUUCGGGUUGUCAUGCCAAUGGCACUGCCCGGUAGCUAAAUGCGGAAGAGAUAAGUGCUGAAAGCAUCUAAGCACGAAACUUGCCCCGAGAUGAGUUCUCCCUGAGACUUUAAGUCUCCUGAAGGAACGUUAAAGACGAUGACGUUGAUAGGCCGGGUGUGUAAGCGCAGCGAUGCGUUGAGCUAACCGGUACUAAUGAACCGUGAGGCUUAACCUUACAACGCCGAAG
This 2917-nucleotide ribosomal RNA is filed under the name Klebsiella pneumoniae. RNAcentral's name for it is "23S ribosomal RNA". It matches the Rfam family "Bacterial large subunit ribosomal RNA". The record is from RNAcentral. Lineage: Bacteria; Pseudomonadati; Pseudomonadota; Gammaproteobacteria; Enterobacterales; Enterobacteriaceae.